RNAcentral lists this ribosomal RNA (452 nucleotides) under Lacticaseibacillus paracasei. RNAcentral's name for it is "bacterial SSU rRNA". It matches the Rfam family "Bacterial small subunit ribosomal RNA", at positions 430 to 875 of the family's 1533-position model. Lineage: Bacteria; Bacillati; Bacillota; Bacilli; Lactobacillales; Lactobacillaceae. The record is from RNAcentral.
ACUCCGUUGUUGGUGAAGAAUGGUGGGCAGAGUAACUGGGGUUGGCGUGACGGUAUCCAACCAGAAAGCCAAGGCUAAGUACGUGCCAGCAGCCGCGGUAAUACGUAGGUGGCAAGCGUUAUCCGGAUUUAUUGGGCGUAAAGCGAGCGCAGGCGGUUUUUUAAGUUUGAUGUGAAAGCCCUAGGUUUAACCGAGGAAGCGCAUCGGAAACUGGGAAACUUGAGUGCAGAAGAGGACAGUGGAAAUCCAUGUGUAGCGGUGAAAUGCGUAGAUAUAUGGAAGAACACCAGUGGCGAAGGCGGCUGUCUGGUCUGUAACUGACGCUGAGGCUCGAAAGCAUGGGUAGCGAACAGGAUUAGAUACCCUGGUAGUCCAUGCCGUAAACGAUGAAUGCUAGGUGUAGGAGGGUUUCCGCCCUUCAGUGCCGCAGCUAACGCAUAAGCAUCCGCCUG